AUAGUUACUUGGCAGGGGACAUACUAUGAUCACGAAGGUGGUUUCCUGGGGCAAGACUUACCCAUUAUACUCCAGCUAUUCUAACCCCUGCGAUUUUCUCAAACCAGGGAUAAUUGACUGCAUAAUUCAUAGUGGUGGGCGACUGCUUUCAUGGUCUUCCA
Small nuclear RNA from Sorex fumeus (smoky shrew), 161 nucleotides. RefSeq annotates it as U1 spliceosomal RNA. The transcript has a single exon. NCBI's taxonomy places the organism in Eukaryota, Metazoa, Chordata, Mammalia, Eulipotyphla, Soricidae. The record is from RefSeq and is a predicted model, not a curated record.